This 68-nucleotide transfer RNA is filed under the name Odontotermes sp. BDIT9-1.3A. RNAcentral's name for it is "tRNA-Cys". Lineage: Eukaryota; Metazoa; Arthropoda; Insecta; Blattodea; Termitidae. The record is from RNAcentral.
GGCCCUGUAUUCAUCUUGUGAUUAUAGAAUGCAAUUCUGUAGGGGUAAGUUAAUCCUUAUCAAGGCCU